CUGAGGUGGCGUCAGGAGAAGGCGCGGCUCAAGCGUUGCUUGUGGUGAGGAGCAGCCCGUAAUUGACUUUUUGGGGUUAUUGAGUGACCCCAAAACGCCAGAUAGAAGCAGUUCCUAAGGAUUCAGUGCCAAGAAUGUCCUGUUCUAAGGUUUUGUGGAAUCCCCACAGAAUCAUCUGUCAAACCCUCUGUGAGCAAUAGGAACCACAUCAACUGAAAAGUGUAAAAUCCCAUGAAAAAAUUCAAAACAAGCUACAAUCAGUCCAAGAAUGAAGCGCUGCUUUUUUAUGACUUCCAGCACCUCCAAGAAUGUGAACAAAGCCUUGGCAGCUCCUCUGCUGCUAAAAGUUGUUAAAGACAGGGUGAAACUGCCAGGUUUACCCUUUUUUUUUGGGCUCUCUGACUCCAAACUGGAGAUCCCAAGGUUUCCAAUCCUUACCUGAGGGCUGCAAAUGGAGAUUGCUUGGAGUUUUUGUCCUCAGGACCUCAAAACCUGGAAACUGAAGCAACGAGAGCCAGCAAUGUUUGAAUAUCUCAUGGGUUUUGCCUGCAGAUAAAAACCCAGCAGUCUCUUGAUAAAAUCAUCACCAAAUCAGGGGGUUUGGGGCCUCCUGUGUGACGUUUCCAGGUAUUUUGGCGUGGAUGUUCUGCCAGAAAAUAAAUCUUUGGGGCUCCUGUGAGACCCUGGAAACCCAAAGUUGUUGCUGAGCUGAAGUUUGCUGUGCCCUCACCUCACAAAAUAUUUCGGUGUUUUCUGACCUCUCUCUAGGUAGAAACCCUCCGGGUGAUUUCCUUGGUCUUCCAGCAAGCCCUUUUAAAUGGUUUCUAUUUAAUUAAGAAGCACCAUGGCUCAUUAGCAGCAAACAAAGCCGACUGCUGGGAUCUCCUACCACCUUUUUAACAUUUCCAGGCUUUCCUGCUUCCACCUCCCCAGCUCUGCACAGCAAGGUGAGAUCCCUCACCUGGCUCCUCUCCUUCCCACUCCUGUGCCUGAGCCCCAUCCUGCUGCUUUUCCCGGAGAAAGAUGAAGAAUUCCUGUGGGAUUUGGCUGUGCAGACAAGGCUGGACUUGUCCUCUC
Long non-coding RNA from Corvus hawaiiensis (hawaiian crow), 1077 nucleotides. RefSeq lists it as uncharacterized. The transcript has 4 exons. The record is from RefSeq and is a predicted model, not a curated record. NCBI's taxonomy places the organism in Eukaryota, Metazoa, Chordata, Aves, Passeriformes, Corvidae.